RNAcentral lists this long non-coding RNA (933 nucleotides) under Salmo salar (Atlantic salmon). Its description in RNAcentral is "lncRNA (ENSSSAG00000091884.1)". Lineage: Eukaryota; Metazoa; Chordata; Actinopteri; Salmoniformes; Salmonidae. The record is from RNAcentral.
CCUGACUCCGCCAAUCUACCCGUGUGCCCCCCCCCCAUUUUUUGUGGGGGGGCUGCCUCUCGUGCUUCCCCGGCAGGCUUCUGUAUCUCUCCAAUACUUGCCCCCAAGUCCAGUCUAUCCUCUUUCGCAACUCCUCCAGAGACCAGGAAUCCAUCUCCUCCCGGGCACGCUGCUUGAUCCAGUUGUGGUGGGUAGUUCUGUAACGGCUGUCGUAAUGAGGAGACCAAGAUGCAGCGUGGUCAGGGCGUGACAAAGAAAGGAGAAGGAGCAUGCUGGAAUUUAUUAUGGAUGUUAAAGAAACUGAUUCCAAUAAAGAGGGCCCGUGCUUUCUAAAUCCAUCACUUUCCAUCUGGCGGAAAAGAAGGAGCGAGCGAGAGAAAGUGCGAGAGAGAGAGAGAAAAGAAAAGAAAAAGCUCCAUACUUAGCUUAAACCUUGAAGGACAUGCAUAGAAUCAACCCCACUUAAAUCAAUCCGCUGGUGCGAAAUAUAAUUUCCUGCUUCAAAAAGUUUGUGAAAUAUGUGCAUGGAAUAUGAAACCUUGGCCAGAAUCCUGGUGCCUGCUGUUCUGCACUCCUGACCGGUGUCGCAGGAACCCUCUGAACACAUCAACAACUGCCUCCCACAAAGCAUUGUUACCUAUCGUUCCAAAAAAAGGCAGCGGAACUUGCAGAGCAAAGGAAACAACUACUUCAAGGUCUCAGAGCGAGUGACGUCACUGAUUGAAACGCUACUAGAGACCACCGCUAACUAGCUAGCUAUUUCACACCGGCUCAUGCGUGUGUGUGCAUUUGUGUGUCUGUAAAACGGCAAUGUGUUUAAAUGCUGACAUCUCCAAAGGAGCCCUUUAUUUGAUCAGCUCUGAUAGAAUUCGAGACCUUGGGACUAUAAGAUUCUGGCAUUUUUGUCAAAAAUGUGUUAGUCACAUGUAAUUG